UCUUACAAAGUCAUUACAAAUCUAAAUUAUUCAAAACCAAUGCUCAUAAAAAUCUUAUCUAGUCUGCUAUCAAAUCCCACUCUUUGAUUUGCAAAAGAAUCCUAGAAUCGUCGUUGAGACUUGGUUUUGUGCCUUAGGGUCUGAUUUCGACCCUAGUUCAUAACCGGCCCUCUUCCAGUAUCAAUAUCUAAUUUUUCUAAGUAAAUUUUGCUAGAAUUUACUCUUAACUUCCUUCUAAAGAUGUUUGUAUCAUUUAUUUUUUCAAUCUACUUUUUUUUGCCUUAUUUAUGGUCCUACAAAGUAAGUAGAAGUCACCUUUCUAAAAAGGCAGUAUUAGUACCUUUUAGUUUUAUUAUCCUUUUGACCAUUAACUAU
RNAcentral lists this long non-coding RNA (375 nucleotides) under Physcomitrium patens. RNAcentral describes it as "long non-coding RNA (PPAT_LNC002708)". Lineage: Eukaryota; Viridiplantae; Streptophyta; Bryopsida; Funariales; Funariaceae. The record is from RNAcentral.